AUUGAACGCUGGCGGCAGGCCUAACACAUGCAAGUCGAGCGGAUGAAGGGAGCUUGCUCCUGGAUUCAGCGGCGGACGGGUGAGUAAUGCCUAGGAAUCUGCGUGGUAGUGGGGGAUAACGUCCGGAAACGGGCGCUAAUACCGCAUACGUCCUGAGGGAGAAAGUGGGGGAUCUUCGGACCUCACGCUAUCAGAUGAGCCUAGGUCGGAUUAGCUAGUUGGUGGGGUAAAGGCCUACCAAGGCGACGAUCCGUAACUGGUCUGAGAGGAUGAUCAGUCACACUGGAACUGAGACACGGUCCAGACUCCUACGGGAGGCAGCAGUGGGGAAUAUUGGACAAAGGGCGAAAGCCUGAUCCAGCCAUGCCGCGUGUGUGAAGAAGGUCUUCGGAUUGUAAAGCACUUUAAGUUGGGAGGAAGGGCAGUAAGUUAAUACCUUGCUGUUUUGACGUUACCAACAGAAUAAGCACCGGCUAACUUCGUG
This 484-nucleotide ribosomal RNA is filed under the name uncultured bacterium. RNAcentral describes it as "partial 16S ribosomal RNA". It matches the Rfam family "Bacterial small subunit ribosomal RNA", at positions 30 to 507 of the family's 1533-position model. The record is from RNAcentral.